This 468-nucleotide ribosomal RNA is filed under the name uncultured bacterium. RNAcentral describes it as "partial 16S ribosomal RNA". It matches the Rfam family "Bacterial small subunit ribosomal RNA", at positions 28 to 507 of the family's 1533-position model. The record is from RNAcentral.
GACGAACGCUGGCGGCGUGCUUAACACAUGCAAGUCGAACGGAAAGGCCCUGCUUUUGUGGGGUGUUCGAGUGGCUAACGGGUGGGUAACACGUGCGUAACCUGCCCUUGCUUUUGGGAUAACUUCAGGAAACUGGCGCUAACACCUGAUAGGUGCUCCUUCUUCAUGGUGUGGGUUGGAAAGUUUCGGCGGCUGGGGCUGGACUCGCGGCUUAUCAGCUUGUUGGUGGGGUAGUGGCUUACCAAGGCUUUGACGGGUAGCCGGCCUGAGAGGGUGACCGGCCACAUAGGGACUGAGGUACGACCCAGACUCAUACGGGAGGAAGCAGUGGGAAAUAGUGCAAAAUGGGCGGAAGCCGGAUGCAGCGACGCCGCGUGCGAGAUGACGGCCUUCGGGUUGUAAACCGCUUUCGCCUGAGAGGAAGAGUGAGUGACGGUAAUGGGUAAAGAAGCAACGGCUAACUACGUG